This 402-nucleotide ribosomal RNA is filed under the name uncultured bacterium. RNAcentral describes it as "bacterial SSU rRNA". It matches the Rfam family "Bacterial small subunit ribosomal RNA", at positions 30 to 435 of the family's 1533-position model. The record is from RNAcentral.
AUUGAACGCUGGCGGCAUGCCUUACACAUGCAAGUCGAACGGCAGCGGACCUUCGGGUGCCGGCGAGUGGCGAACGGGUGAGUAAUAUAUCGGAACGUACCUUUCAGUGGGGGAUAACGUAGCGAAAGUUACGCUAAUACCGCAUAUUCUGUGAGCAGGAAAGCAGGGGAUCGCAAGACCUUGCGCUGAUUGAGCGGCCGAUAUCAGAUUAGCUAGUUGGUGAGGUAAAGGCUCACCAAGGCGACGAUCUGUAGCGGGUCUGAGAGGAUGAUCCGCCACACUGGAACUGAGACACGGUCCAGACUCCUACGGGAGGCAGCAGUGGGGGAAUUUUGGACAAUGGGGGCGAACCCUGAUCCAGCCAUGCCGCGUGAGUGAAGAAGGCCUCGGUUGUAAGUACGU